GGGGUGGAGCUCCAAGAGCUGAGCAUGCGCACAAAGGUACAACUUGCCCUUCCGGUCACAGCAAAACCUCGUUAGAAACCCACAAAUACGCAAUGCGUGAAUAAAUACAGUUAGAACAAUGCAUCAGGGGCAGGCGCAUGCUCCAAGCCAAAGUGUGAUGGACCCACCAGCUGCCGGUCAAACAAGUCAAUCCAAGCCCAAUCUGCUCGUACACAAAGCAAAUUUAAGAGGAUGCGGCUAGAGCUUCCGGGGCCGGUUCCACUGUCGCUCCGCAGUGGCCCGAACGGUACGUAGCAGCCCUAUGAGCUAUGCCCCCACUCUGGUGUCGCGUCUCCAUCCUUCCGUGCGUCUGGGUCGAGAACCGAGCGAGCCNGAGCCGGUAACGCAGAGAAACUAGAUGAACUCAUGAAGGGAGGAAGAAACGAUCGGUCAUCUGUCUGCCUCGAUUUGGGCCCCCACAGGCCCUUUACGAUGCAGCAGGCAGAGUGAACGUUGUAAAAAUAUUCGGUUAAAUCUGACACGGUGUUUUCCCGCUUGCAGGUCCCAAGGCUGCUCAGCGAACGCACAGAAUCCAAACGAGCACGAGGCGCCCCNNNNNNNNNNNNNNNNNNNNNCGCUCCGGUCUGUUCUGGGUCUUGCCAGCCACCUCCACCCGGCGCUGCCUCUCCCUAGGUCUUGCCUUGUCCCAGGUCUCACCUCCCGGGUCCCCUGGAUGGAGGGACCCCCUCCGACUCCUCCUGGUUAUGCUGUGUGAUCUCAUCUGUGGUCUUCUUGACAGGGCUUCUCAAAUUCUGCAACUUCCUUGUUUAUUCAAUGAAACAAGCAGACAUCGCUUUAUGGUCUGCCUACCUAUGAGGUGUAAACCUCACUCUGUACAGCUUGUCUAAAAG
Molecule: long non-coding RNA, 890 nt
Filed under: Lynx pardinus (Iberian lynx)
Lineage: Eukaryota; Metazoa; Chordata; Mammalia; Carnivora; Felidae
Source: RNAcentral